Long non-coding RNA from Stegastes partitus (bicolor damselfish), 285 nucleotides. RefSeq lists it as uncharacterized. Lineage: Eukaryota; Metazoa; Chordata; Actinopteri; Pomacentridae. The transcript is spliced from 3 exons. The record is from RefSeq and is a predicted model, not a curated record.
GCUGUUGACCAGAGCGGAAGCGACCUGCUGGGGCUGCUGGCCGCUCUCCUCCUCUGUACCACCAUCUGCACAUGCACACAAGCGCCCGUCCUUCUCAGCUGCACCGAGUGGAACAAUGGCACCGAUGUACACCUGUGGAAGUAAGAGAGACAGCUAAACACACUGAUCUGAGCGUGCAGAUUAACUGGCGUCACGUAUCUGAGGGCUUGGGAUUCCAGCUGCGUGCCGAGCCUGGUUUCAAAUGGCUGAAGCGAGCAGAGCUGCUACCAACCGGCUGAUCUGGUC